Molecule: ribosomal RNA, 441 nt
Filed under: uncultured bacterium
Lineage: Bacteria
Description: bacterial SSU rRNA
Rfam family: Bacterial small subunit ribosomal RNA
Source: RNAcentral
CCUACGGGGGGCAGCAGUAGGGAAUCUUCCGCAAUGGACGCAAGCCUGAUGCAGCGACGCCGCGUGAGCGAUGAAGGCCUUCGGGUCGUAAAGCUCUGUCCUAAGGGAAGAAUAAUGACGGUACCUUAGGAGGAAGCCACGGCUAACUACGUGCCAGCAGCCGCGGUAAUACGUAGGUGGCAAGCGUUGUCCGGAAUUAUUGGGCGUAAAGCGCGCGCAGGCGGUCCUUUAAGUCUGAUGUGAAAUCUUGCGGCUCAACCGCAAGCGGUCAUUGGAAACUGGGGGACUUGAGUGCAGAAGAGGAAAGCGGAAUUCCACGUGUAGCGGUGAAAUGCGUAGAGAUGUGGAGGAACACCAGUGGCGAAGGCGGCUUUCUGGUCUGUAACUGACGCUGAGGCACGAAAGCGUGGGGAGCGAACAGGAUUAGAUACCCCAGUAGUC